UACGAAGGGGGCUAGCGUUGCUCGGAAUUACUGGGCGUAAAGCGCACGUAGGCGGCUCUUUAAGUCAGGGGUGAAAUCCUGGAGCUCAACUCCAGAACUGCCUUUGAUACUGGCGACCUUGAGUCCGGGAGAGGUGAGUGGAACUGCGAGUGUAGAGGUGAAAUUCGUAGAUAUUCGCAAGAACACCAAUGGCGAAGGCAGCUCGCUGGGACGGUACUGACGCUGAGGCGCGAAAGCGUGGGGAGCAAACAGG
This 253-nucleotide ribosomal RNA is filed under the name uncultured bacterium. RNAcentral's name for it is "partial 16S ribosomal RNA". It matches the Rfam family "Bacterial small subunit ribosomal RNA", at positions 524 to 776 of the family's 1533-position model. The record is from RNAcentral.